Camelina sativa (false flax) is the source of this 897-nucleotide non-coding RNA. The record is from RefSeq and is a predicted model, not a curated record. NCBI's taxonomy places the organism in Eukaryota, Viridiplantae, Streptophyta, Magnoliopsida, Brassicales, Brassicaceae.
UGUCAUCUUCUAAACAAAAUCCCUGGUUUAUUUUCUUCGAACAAUCUAUUUUUUGUCGUACUCAGAUCUGUUAGACCCAGUUGAAUUCUAUAUUGCAAAACCCCCAAUUUUGCAAUUCUUCGAUGAUUAAAGCAAAAGAUGUCUUAAUCAAAUAGAUUCAUUGAAGAAUGGAUCCGAUCCUAGUUUUCGGUUCAUACGACGAACGACCUCUUGCCAAUUCCAUUAAUCGAGUAAGUUGGUUAUGAUUCUGUCAAUAAUCCCUUGAUAACACAGUUAGCAUACGGAAGUUUCUCGAGAUUCGAAUUAGAAUAUUAUUUUUAAAAAUAGUAAUUGUUGCUCUACCUUAAUUUUGUUUGAAGUAAUUCCUAAUUUUAGGCAGAAUAGUCAAAAUUUAAUCAGUGGAUAUGAUGAUAAGUGAAUAUUGAUCUGUAUUAUUCUUUACAAUAUUACAAGUUUAUGAUUUUAAGCAUCUGAUUGUUAAAAGAGAAUCAUAUAAUGGAGAAGAAGACAUCUAAAAAGAAGACGUAAUUAUAUAUGUAACGUUACAAUUCGUUUUCGCCAUUUUUUUUCCUCUACUCCAAUAAAAUCUUUAACUUACAAUUUGUUUUGUGAUGAAUAUAUGACCUCCUUUGACAUGGAUCCCGGAGGAGCCAUUUACAAAACUUAUAAGCAGCAAAAGUGCUUGAGGAGACAACAUAAUGAUUCCAAGUAAAGAACUGAGGUAUAUCCUCAAACGUGAGUUCUCUUGCUUCAGCUGAGUAGUGCUAGAUAAGUUAUUGGAAAGUUUGCUGCCAUUUUGAAAGCGAUUUCCGCAGAAGGUUGGUGAGAUAUGUUCUUCACUUUAAAAUCUUGGCUUGUAAACGGGUGAUCCAUUUCUAUAUCCAACUCUAUUUUUCA